This 436-nucleotide ribosomal RNA is filed under the name Aleyrodes proletella. RNAcentral's name for it is "partial 16S ribosomal RNA". The record is from RNAcentral. Lineage: Eukaryota; Metazoa; Arthropoda; Insecta; Hemiptera; Aleyrodidae.
UUUUAAAUAAUUUCUGCUCAAUGAAAUAAUUUAAAUAGCCGCAGUAAAUUAACUGUGCUAAGGUAGCAUAAUAAUUAGUUUUUUAAUUAAAAACUAGAAUGAAAGAAAAAAUGAAAAAUUAACUUUUUAAUUAUAAUAAAUAAAUAUAAAUUAAUUAGUAAGUUAAAAAUCUUAUAUAAAAUAAAAAGACAAGAAGACCCUUUAGAAUUUUAUAAAUAAAAAAAUUUAAAUAAAUAUAAAUUUUGAUGAUUAUUAAAUUGGGGAGAUUAUGAAAUCUAUAAAACUUUCACUUUUUAAAAACAAAAAUAAAUGAAUUAAAAAAAAAUAUCCAGUUAAUAGCCGAAUAAAAACCAAAUUACCUAAGGGAUAACAGCGUAAAAUUUCUAAAAAGAUCAAAUUUACAGAAUAAAUUACGACCUCGAUGUUGGAUUAAGAA